Molecule: signal recognition particle RNA, 97 nt
Filed under: Gemelliphila asaccharolytica
Lineage: Bacteria; Bacillati; Bacillota; Bacilli; Caryophanales; Gemellaceae
Description: Gemella asaccharolytica Bacterial signal recognition particle RNA
Rfam family: Bacterial small signal recognition particle RNA (bases 6-89)
About the family: The signal recognition particle (SRP) is a universally conserved ribonucleoprotein involved in the co-translational targeting of proteins to membranes. Archaeal SRP consists of a 7S RNA and homologues of the eukaryotic SRP19 and SRP54 proteins.
Source: RNAcentral
CGAGGCAUCUUAUGACGUAAAAAAUUAUGAACCAUGUCAGGUCAGGAAUGAAGCAGCAUUAAGUAAUAUUUUCCGGGUAUAAGUUAUUUGUCAAAGU